UCAGUCAGCUCUUUGCUAUUCUUUCUAGAUCAUGGUCUUGCAGCCUUGAGAUCAGGAGCACCUUCAUACUGACAGAGGAACUGAGGCUCCAUGAGGCUCCUGACUUGCUGGAAAUCCAAGGCCAAGGAAGACAGCAGGUCCCAGGGACAGGCAGCCAGCCUCCUGAGGCCAAUGUAGGGUCUCCUGUAGUUCAGAUUGUCCUCCAAUUCUAUGGCUGUGGAUGACCUGGAGCUCCUGAUCCUCCUGCCUCCACAUCCUGAGUGCUGGGGUCACAGGUGUGUCUCACCUGUGAUUUUGGGGAUGGAAGCCAGGCUUUUUACCUGCUAAGCAAGAACUCCGGCCAUGGAGCCGGCAUCUGCCACCGGCAUUUUCACUGUACGGCGGGUGUGCGGCAGUCAUCUCCAUCUUUGUCACUUCAACUACUGUUGUCCCCAAUCUUCAGCGUUAUGGUUAUUCCUGAGCACCCCCCCUUCCUCCACCUCAUUCAGGCCCAGUGUGUUGUGGACAAGCCUAAAAGCCAAUGUUAUGAGCUGGAUAAGAUCAAUGUCAUCCCUGUCUGAUCAAUUCACGGUGCAUUCAGCUGAGCCAUGUCAGAAGAAGAGGCCACCAGAAUGAAUAACUUCCCUGGCAUGUGCCUAUCUGGUCUAUCCUGUCCCCUAAAUGCCUGGUCUCUCAUUGGCCUGGAGCAGGCAGAUUAGGCCAUGGAUCCCCAG
Molecule: long non-coding RNA, 713 nt
Organism: Peromyscus maniculatus bairdii (prairie deer mouse)
Lineage: Eukaryota; Metazoa; Chordata; Mammalia; Rodentia; Cricetidae
Source: RefSeq, a predicted model, not a curated record